UACAGAGGUGGCAAGCGUUGUUCGGAAUUACUGGGCGUAAAGGGCGCGUAGGCGGUUCGUACAGUCAGACGUGAAAUUCCUGGGCUCAACCUGGGGGCUGCGUUUGAUACGUGCGGACUUGAGUGCGGAAGAGGGUCGUGGAAUUCCCGGUGUAGUGGUGAAAUGCGUAGAUAUCAGGAAGAACACCCGUGGCUAAGGCGGCUCUCUAGUACGGUACUGACGCUGAGACGCGAAAGCGUGGGGAGCGAACAGG
RNAcentral lists this ribosomal RNA (253 nucleotides) under uncultured bacterium. RNAcentral describes it as "partial 16S ribosomal RNA". It matches the Rfam family "Bacterial small subunit ribosomal RNA", at positions 524 to 776 of the family's 1533-position model. The record is from RNAcentral.